GGUUUAUAACCCCCUCUAUUUCAAAGGAGUUUUAAUGAUUCUUCAAAGAAUGUCUAAUUUUUUACGUUUCUGUCUCAUUUUUCUGGAUCCCGAAACUGAUCUCCUUCUCAAAAUCACACUUGAACCCUAAAAUCCCUUUCAUUCCUUUCUCGCUUUCUUCCUCGCACACUACACCCUUAUUUCUUUCUCGCUUUCUUCCUGAACCCUAAACUCACCGUCUCUUCCUCGUACUGACUAUCCUUCAGAAUCGUAGUCGCGGAACCAUUGGUAGACGGAGCUGCAGCGGUGGUUGCGUGGUCUUCCUUUUGUUACUGUUCUGUCAGUCUCAGUUGGUUGUGGACGUGACUCUGACUCCGGUUGAGGAUCUUGCGGUUUUGGUGCUUGUUGCUGGUCAUUUUGGAGAAUUUGUUGUCUCUGUUGCUGUAGAACUUGAAAAGAGAAAAAGAUAAAGGGAACAUGAAGUCAUUUUCUUAAAGAAAAAGAAGAUUCCUGUUUUAAAGCGAGAAAUUAUGCCUAGUAUAAGCCACCAUCGAAUUCAAGUUUCAGGUUAAGAAGGAGAAGUUACUUUUCUGAAUUGUGACUCUUUAUUAGCUUGUUCUCUCAUUUGGAAAGGUAAUAAGAUCCGAACUCAUUUAUAUGUGUGAUGUAUUUGGCUGGAUGACAUAGAUUAUUAGGCGUAGGGUAGAUAUAAUUUAUUAGGCAUUGCCAGAGAGCUUUCUGAAAUUUAUGACUAGGACACCACUGAUUCACUGCAGUACAAAUCAACUCUAAGCAUCUUCUCAUUGCCUCUUCUGCAUGACUACUUAUCUUAUUCAUUUGUACUUAACAAUGACUUUUU
This is a long non-coding RNA of Vigna radiata var. radiata (mung bean), 838 nucleotides long. RefSeq lists it as uncharacterized. Lineage: Eukaryota; Viridiplantae; Streptophyta; Magnoliopsida; Fabales; Fabaceae. The transcript has 4 exons. The record is from RefSeq and is a predicted model, not a curated record.